AGCGAACGCUGGCGGCAGGCUUAACACAUGCAAGUCGAGCGGGCGUAGCAAUACGUCAGCGGCAGACGGGUGAGUAACGCGUGGGAACGUACCUUUUGGUUCGGAACAACACAGGGAAACUUGUGCUAAUACCGGAUAAGCCCUUACGGGGAAAGAUUUAUCGCCGAAAGAUCGGCCCGCGUCUGAUUAGCUAGUUGGUGAGGUAACGGCUCACCAAGGCGACGAUCAGUAGCUGGUCUGAGAGGAUGAUCAGCCACACUGGGACUGAGACACGGCCCCAACUCCUACGGGAGGCAGCAGUGGGGAAUAUUGGACAAUGGGGGCAACCCUGAUCCAGCCAUGCCGCGUGAGUGAUGAAGGCCCUAGGGUUGUAAAGCUCUUUUGUGCGGGAAGAUAAUGACGUUACCGCAAGAAUAAGCCCCGGCUAACUUCGUG
This 435-nucleotide ribosomal RNA is filed under the name uncultured bacterium. RNAcentral's name for it is "partial 16S ribosomal RNA". It matches the Rfam family "Bacterial small subunit ribosomal RNA", at positions 29 to 507 of the family's 1533-position model. The record is from RNAcentral.